This is an RNA transcript of Macrobrachium nipponense, 6636 nucleotides long. It is a transcript of the gene named zinc finger protein 91-like, with no coding region annotated. The record is from RefSeq and is a predicted model, not a curated record. The transcript has 3 exons. Lineage: Eukaryota; Metazoa; Arthropoda; Malacostraca; Decapoda; Palaemonidae.
CAGUUUCCCUAAAAUUCCCUCCUAAGUCAGAAAGAAGAAGCAUAAGUCAAGAGGAAGAGGACGAAGAUUUGUUUACCAAAGUCUUGUUUGACAUGAAACAAAGUGACUCUUCAUGUGCCUAUGUUGUGACGUAAUUGCGCUAUUUGUUAUGACUAGAUGAAGGCUUUUUUUCUUUUGAAGAUGGGCCAUUGUAUCAUUCUCUGCAUUUCUUCUUGGUCUUCAUGCAUCAGUAAUGAUGGAGAAUAAAUCAUAUGUAUUGCUGAACAAUGCUGUGUUGGUGAUGUAAAUAACAAUGGGUAAAACAAAAACAAACAAGCAGUUCGUGGAAUUUCCAGCACACUUGUGAAGCAAGCAAGAUCUGUUGUAAAAAUUUAGCUGUUUGGGAAAUGUUUUGUCUCCUUUGUUUACAGUAGGUAAAUGCAUUUUUCUCUCCAAAUUUUUGUUCAAGAACUUAUUUUUUUGUGAUGUAAAACAUCUGUGAAUCAGGGUUUGAUUUUAUAUGAGAACAUAGAAGAUUUGGUUUUUAAUAAUUAUCUAAAGUUAAUGGACAAAAGUAUUAGAACAAAAAGACAUUUGGCCAUACACAGUAUUCACCCAAAUCACACUGCUAAAAAUAUUUCAACACUAGAUUUACUGAAAGUAAAAUACAUCUGUGAACCUUUUUGUGCAUAUGGUGAAGGGACCACUUGACUAGGUGGAAAUUUGGAACACAAAAAUGAAUAACUGUGGCUCAAAAACUUUAUGCCCAAAUGUAAAAUGUUCAUAGUGUUACCUCAAUAUUGUUCAUAAGCGAACAAACCUUUGGUCUUAACAGUAGGAUAAUUUCUAGCGCCUAGCUGGAUCUGGUUAAAAAACAGAUGAAAGCAUGGAAUCUUGUGAUAUCUGGCAAUGCAUGCGUAGAUUAGGUGAAGGAUGGUCGAAGACAAUCACCUAUGAUCGCGCAUUAAUCUUUCUUUUGACCGCCUGGGCGAGAGUUGUGUUAACCUUUCUUGGCCUUUUUCCGGUUCAUUGCCCGUUUCACUUCUGUUUAGUGUGUGUGUGUGUUUGGCUGGUAUUAUAGCUUUUUCUGCUCCUCGGCAUCAGCGUAUGUGCCCCCGGAGUUCCAGGUUUUCCGUGUUCUUGUUUUCUGGCAUCGGCAGCGACCGACCUCAUAUCACGUGCAGUAGGUAUUGUUCUAAUUUUUGUACUAUUACGAAUCCUUAUAUGGAAUGCCGGGCAUGGCCUAAAGAGCAGUGGAGGAUGUUUUAUGGCAAGAGAGAACAUCGGAGGGUUUCGACUCUUCCUAUUUGGGAAGGUUAGGCGCCUCUAACCAAUGUUUCGUCUCCUGCAGUAGUCAACCCUCAUAGUAGCGUUGUCCCUGCAUCUCCUUCCUUUUCUUCCUUUUCCUCCAUUGAUUCAUCGAUCGAAGUAUCGGGAGGCCACCAGGCUAAUGUUUGUAAUGUAGCCCCUUCCUCCUCAGGAGUUUAUUUGAUUCCCGAGAGGGGUGAGGCUUUUUCAUCAAUCUCUUCUCUUCCAGAGUUGGAGCCGUCCAAAAUGACGGCGAUUUGGAAGACGCUCGGGGUAGGGGGUCCCCCGUCCUUGGUGGGGUUGCCAGUGCAUUUUGUGGAGGCUCGCACCCCCCCUCCAUGGUCUGGCCAGGCUAUCCCCCCUCCUCCUGGCCUCGUCUUCGUGGGUAGCAGCAGUCGGCCAUCUUGUAUGGCUCCACCAGUGUCUGCUGCCGCUUCGAGCCGGAGUGACGCUGUGACGUCAGCCCCGUUGACAACGUCACGGGAUUCGUCUUUGUGUAUUCCUCCGCCAGUGGUGUCUCUUUCCCCCUCGCACCAAGGGGAAGCCGUCCACUUGUGACGUCACUCCCAUCGAUGACGUCUCUCCCAGUCGUCUCCUCUGAUCUGCAGUGAAGUUAUCACUGCCGCCCAGUUCGCUACGUCUCCCUUGCUUGUCAUUGGAGCCUUCUCUGGCACAUCAGUCCGAGGUCAUAUGCCAGGCAGUGCUUCAGAGGUUGGACUCUGUAUUGAAUGUGAAGUUGGCUGUCUUAUCGGUUGGGAGGACUGGUAGGAAACGUGUUGCUUUGUCCCCGCCUCCUGAGAAGAGUGCGCAUAAGAAACCAGUGCAGUCUUCUUCUCCCUCUUCCCCUUCUAUUCCCCGUCGGCAUAUCAAGCGUUGGAAGGCUAAGAACUUUGCCCUUCCUUCGCCUUCAAGGGAGGAACAAUGCAGACGUGUUCCCGAGUGUGCUGUUGUUUCGGGCAGUGUUAGUGGUGUGCGAUCUGCAGGAGAUGCUUCGUCCUCUGCUUCGAAUCUCGGGCGUGUUAGCCCCCCAACCCCCCAUCCAUGCACAUCGCGAGCGUGUUGCAACCUCCCCUGCCCGUGCUCGUGAUGUUAGUGCUCCUUCUUCUCCAAGGCCUGUUCGUCGCCGUAAGGAUUUCAAGGUGCCUGUCAAGAGGUUGAAGGUAGUGAGUGGGGAGUUAGUGCAGCAGUAGUGUUUGCCUGCCUCUCUCACUGGUCCUUCCAAGAGUUCGACUCUAAGGGAUUCUCCUUCGAUCUCGAGUGUUCGAGCCUUGGUGGGAGCUACUCAGGACCCCAAAUCCUCUCUUCAGCUUCCUCUGUCAGGGCACGUUCAGUCGGUCUUGCAGAAGGUUAAUGCCUCUGUUUUGGACCGGGACGGUUCGCUUCUCUCUAGGGGCUCCACCAAACUACUACCCCCGCCUCUCACAAGACAUAGGAAGUACUAUGAGUUUGACUCUAAGGGAUUCUCCUUCGAUCUCGAGUGUUCGAGCCUUGGUGGGAGCUACUCAGGACCCCAAAUCAUCUCUUCAGCUUCCUCUGUCAGGGCACGUUCAGUCGGUCUUGCAGAAGGUUAAUGCCUCUGUUUUGGACCGGGACGGUUCGCUUCUCUCUAGGGGCUCCACUAAACUACUACCCCCGCCUCUCACAAGACAUAGGAAGUACUAUGCUACGAGCUCUGCAUUUUUGUUGUUACGCCAUCUUUACCCAGAUGUUAUUCGCCUGAAGCCGGGAUUGACUUUGGAACAGGUGAGGUCAGUGGCUCCAUCCUUGUCUCCGCAAGAUGCUUAAGCACUGGAAUCUACGGCGGCCUCCAUGUUGCAGACGUUUUCUUGGCUGGACCUCUGGUCUGUGGUUAUUGCCAAGAUAGCUUCCGACAGGUUCCCAGAAGGGUUGGUGAGUGCUUCCUCGCUUGCCAGUCUGUUGCAGUCUGGGGACAAGGCGUUUUCAUAUUUGGCUCGCCUCGGUGCUAAUUUAUGGGCUAAUCUUCUUCUGAUUAGAAGGGACACGGCUUCGUCUAGGAUGGAGAGAUCAUUUGACACUGAGUCCUUGCUGGCAUUGAGGAACGGAGAUCUGUUGGAGUCCCAGUUUUUGUUUCCUCGGACAAAACUCAAGAAUGUGAUAGACUGGCGCCGGGCUGACACCAAAGACAGACUGGUGCACCAGGCCGUGUCUAAGUCGGAGUCUUGUCCUUGGAGUCGUCCGGCUCCUCCUCUUCCCCCGGUCCAGCAGCAGUCAAGGAGAUCGUUGCCUGAUAGGCCGUCAAGAGGACCUCGAGUUCGGCAGGGCCUUCCCGUUCGACACAGCCUAAGUCAGAAGAUCAUCGCCCCUUUCGGUCUCGUUCCUUUAACCCGAGAAGGGGCCCAAGGGGCAGAGGUAAAGGGGGCCAUCGGUAGGUUAGGCGUCUCUCCCUCUUCCUCAGAGAUGAGAAAUGUUUGUCCAUCUCUACCAUUAGAGGCUACAGGGCGGCCCUGAGUUUGGUGUUACGCCUUAAGGGUAUCGACAUCUCCUCUUCCUGGGAACUUUCCCUGCUAGUUAAGGGGUUUGAGCAGUCGAGUUCUGAAGAACUCAAGCCUCCGACGUGGGAUGUUUCCUUGGUUCUUAAGAGCUUCACUAAGAGUCCAUAUGAGCCCUUGCGUCACUCAUCUGACAGGAACCUGACGCUCAAGACAGUUUUCCUUCUGGCUUUGGCAUCUUCUAAGAGGGUAGGAGAGCUCCACGGUCUGAGCUAUGAGGUGAAGCACACCAGUGGUUGGGGGUCGAUGUCCUUCGAAUUUGUCCCGGAAUUCGUGGCCAAGACCCAAAAUCCCUCUGUGCAUGAUGAAAGGUUCACUUCGUUUUCCAUUCCAUCGCUGACUGACUUUGUGGGCGGUGAUGCUCAAGAGCUUUUGUUGUGCCCUGUCCGGGCCUUGCGUUGCUAUCUUAAAAGGACUCGGCACCUUAGACCAGGCUGCCACAGACUUUAUGUUAGCACAGGCCGUACAAAGAAAGAGGUGUCUAAGAAUACUAUCUCUUUUUGGAUACGGGAAGCCAUCAGACAGGCAUACUUAUCUCUUGAUGACUCUACCACCACGUCUGUGCAAGUUAGAGCGUGUGACCUUAGAGGUAUUGGUUCCUCUAUGGCUUUCAAAAAGAACUUGGCUGUACUUAGUCCUGAGCGCUGGUGCUUGGUUGCGCCAGUCCAGGUUCAUCUCCUAUCUGAAGGAUGUUGCCCACAGAUCUCAGGACACGUUUUCCCUGGGUCCUGUGGUGGCUGCCCAACAGGUUGUGUAAUUCAUGGUUGCCCAUAACAGGGCACCUUUGUAUCUUACCUAAGAUGAUUGUGUGGAUGAGAGAAUGAGUGAGUUGGCUGGUCUUCUUUCUCUUGUACCUUUCCUUCUUCCUUUGGGCGGUUUAAGGAAUAGACACAUCAUUCGCUGGACUGGUUUGAUACAGGUGAGUAAGGUAGUCAUACUGAUAGUGUGGUCGUGCAAUAUACAAAUAUCUUACCCGUUAUUUCGUAGCAUAUGCUCCACUCCUUGGCAAGAAGGGGUUGGGAGUAAUACAAACCCUAGUGUCUUGGUUUGUUAUUGGACAGUCAAAGUUUCUCUUUGGUUCCCUAUACAAUGGUUAUCCCAUAUAUCACUGUACGUCACUCAGGUUCCGAGUCAUUAGAUAUCAAUUUAUCUAGCUUCUCAACGGGCUUCAGUCUCUCUCCAAAAACCAUUCCUUUUGAGAGCUGGACUGGUGGGUAGGCCCCCAGCUGGUCUAGGGUGUCUUAUACCUCCCUCCAAGUAUGAGUCUAUCCUAUUGUUAAGACCGAAGGUUUGUUCGCGUAUGAACAAAUGAAAAAUUUUCUAAGACAAUUUGUAAUUUUCAUAGCUACAAACCUGAGGUCUUAACAUUAUACUGCCCGCCUCUAGCCGCCCCUCUGUGUCUUACAACAUCCUGAGUUGGGAAAGACUGAAGCACAAUCAUAGGUGAAUGGUCUUCAACCAUUCUUCACCCGAUCUAUGCAUGCAUUGCCAGAUAUCACAAGAUUCCUUGCUUUCAUCUGUUUUUUAACUGGAUCCAGCUGGGCGCUAGAAAUUAUCCUAUUGUUAAGACGUCAGGUUUUUAGCUAUGAAAAAUACAAAUUGUCUUAGAAAAUUUGUCAUUUCAACCUCAACUGGUACAUAAAUACCUCAAUAUUCAACCUCAACUUGUACAUAAAAGAUGUCUUAGUGCUGACUGGAUCCAGCUGGGCGCUAGAAAUUAUCCUAUUGUUAAGACCUCAGGUUUUUAGCUAUGAAAAAUACAAAUUGUCUUAGAAAAUUUGUCAUUUCAACCUCAACUGGUACAUAAAUACCUCAAUAUUCAACCUCAACUGGUACAUAAAAGAUGUCUUAGUGCUGACUUGUUCAAGUACUGAACUGCUUUUUUGUCAGGAAUAAUGUAAAUUGUAUUACUAUCUGUUCCAGACCCCCAAAAAUACAAGAUACAAACAUUUUAACAAGGAUAAUUUAACUUGAAGUAUUAAUGCUUAUGCAGAAAUAAUAUAAAAAUUUAAAUGCAACAUAGAAUAGGUAAAAUAAUUUGCUCAUACUUAGGAGAGUCCUUGAAAUAUGGGGAGAAGGUGAAGAAGAGAUGAUGUUUGGAAGAACUAGAGACGUUCUUCCUUCCCCCCUCCUCUAAAGACAUUUCUUGAGCGGCCAUCUUUUGCUGCUCCAUCUGAAGGUCCUGUAAUUCUUCCAUGGUAAGCUCUACUUGGUGCUCCUCGACAUCAUGAUCACCACCCGCCAUGCCCACGGACUUGCCCAGAGACAUUAUCUUCCACAGCAGGCUCAACCUCAAAGCAUUCAAAGUCCCUUUUUGCUACAGUACCUGACCAAUAUUUUUGCUGGGCAGAAUUCAUGUCCCUGUAAAAGACUUACCCCUGAGGCUUUGUCUAUGAGGAUUAUUAUACAUUGGAGGAUGCUGAAGUGAUUAUUUUCAGAGGGUCAAUUUUGUAUCAGCAGUCACUUCAAAGCAAUUCUAGAAUGAGGGUUUGGAGUGGUCUUAAUAUUAGAUAAGACCUACUGGUCCUUGGGGUGGCUGAGAGAAGCUGUGUUAGGGGACAAGAACUUCACAGUUAUGGAAUUAAACUCAGCCUACAAGCCAGGGGGGAUGAGCAUGAGCAUUUUCCAACAUACUGGCUUCAGAGACAAUUGUAAUUAUCUCCUUAAGGUAUUUCUUGACACUAAAACAAACCAUUUCAAUAACCCCUUCUAUUAAAAAAAAUUGGCAAGUUACCCAGGCAGUAUUAUUAGCCUUUCACACAAUUAACUUUUCAUGACUAUUUUUCUUGAAAAUCCUCAGGUUCUUGAGUGGUAAAGAAGCAGACUAGAGACUUAAAUC